ACCUAAACCAACUGAUUUCCUCAGGGAGACUAACAUCUCAUUCAAACCACAGCAGCCUGCGAAAGCUAGGCUUCAUUCUUGUGUGUGUGUCCAGGAUCUUUCGUGGGCCCAAAGAAGUGAAGAGGGUCUUUACUGCCUUACCGCUAGUAUUUGCCACAGAAGCAGAAGCGAAGACAUCACAUCAUGAUGCUGGCUUCUGCUGCAUGUAAAGGCUAUGCUGUGGUGCUGUGCUAUGACUUAUAUGGGCCAUAGCAUGCAGAGAAAGAAUAUUUGAUUAAGGACCAAGACAUCUUACAGAAGAAAGGGUUUACAGUUCCAGAGUGAUGAGCAUUCCUGGUGACAGAGUUGAAGCAUGGAGCAUGACAGCAAGUGACAGGCAAGACUACAUAGACAAGGAGGAAACUGAGAGCUCACACUUGACAAAGCAGAGAAUGCGAACUGGAGUGUAAACUGAAGACCAGAAGCUGACCUUUGGAGACAUCUAGUCCAGCAGAGCAGCUGCUGCAUUCUCAGUAUCUUCAACGUGAGACAACCAUGUCGGAAAACCCAACCCAUAUCACUUUCAGGUUCUGAUGUCACUGUCUGGCCCAAGGCCCCUGCAUGCAGUGGUGCUCCUGCAUAUGAACUCACAUAAGCGCAAGCAAACACAUAAAAACAAAAAGAUAAAGUUUCACAGCGAAACAUUCACACCACAGCAUGGACGCUUCUCUCUGCACUUGGACAUAUUUUCAGUGGAAAGAAGAGAAUGCAGACAAAAAAAGGCAAUAGGCACUCGUAUUGAAGUUCUGACAAUAGAAGAAGUUGGCCAUCUCAUUUCCAUCUUGCAUGCCAAAUCUUUCAUACUCUCCUGGAAGAUGACCCCAGCACAUCAAGGGCAAGAGAAUGAAGAUACAGAACAUUCCACUGCAAUCAUGUCCAAGACUGAUCACAGUAUCCGUUCGGAUACCAUCCUUGUUCCCCCCUUUACAUGGUGAAACUGGUAUUGGAGAGAAGCUGUAGUCAAGACAAACUCACACAGACAGUGCACCCCAAGAAGAUAGCCAGGGCUCCAGAAAAGAGAGAUGUGUCGCUCUGCCAUCAUACCUACCAUGAGCAAUUGGAUGCCAGGCACUCACAUUUCCAAACCUAAGCGUGCAGCAGAGACGGC
This 1147-nucleotide long non-coding RNA is filed under the name Mus caroli (Ryukyu mouse). RNAcentral's name for it is "lncRNA (MGP_CAROLIEiJ_G0004901.1)". Lineage: Eukaryota; Metazoa; Chordata; Mammalia; Rodentia; Muridae. The record is from RNAcentral.